CACUGCACCUCUGCUCCUGGGCCUAGGAUCUCCAUUUAAGUUCAGCCCCGAGCUCUUGCUGUUUCCCUAGUUUGUUUAGCGGUGUUUCUGUGGUGGAGCUGGUUUGUUUUCUAAUUUAAUUCCAGCUUCUAGAUACAUAUCCCACAAAGGAGACUUGCUACUGAUCUUUGCCUUGCUGUUUCUGACCACUGUCCUGGCUGGGCUUGGAACCUGAAACCUUAGAUUUUUGGAGGUUGUCAUUUGAUAGUUUGUAGUAAUUGUGGCCAAUGUGAUCCUGACCAGGAACAGCGUGGUUGUAUGCUGACUGGAAGAUUGCUACUGGUGCUCUGCUCAGCCUUUGCUGCUGGCUUGUCUCUGUUUGUGGUGUAUCUCUGUUUCUGCUGUAUCUGUAGUGUUCCUCCCCAGAAUGAAACACCCAGUUGAAGCUGAUGCUGCUGACAGUGGAAGCCUUUUCUGAUCUAAGAAUGGCAAGCAGGAAUAACUAGCAUUUUCCAACUUAGUACAUCUUACUUCAUCUCACUGAUGUCCCAAAUCAGCUGAGAUGGACCAUAUGAAGUUCAGCAAGGAGAAUUGUGAAGUCCUGAAUCUGUGAAGGAACAAUUGCAUGCACCAGAACGUGCUGAAGCCACCCAUUUGGAAAACAGCUGACAGAAGGCCCUGGGGAUCAUCGUCUUUGUGAGCCAAGCUUAAGAAGCCACAAAGUAGAAAACAAGGUGCCAUCCAUCUUUCACAUCCACCACUUCAACCUGAACCCUGCAGGCCCAGCCCUGCUUGAUGAGUGAGAAGCUACUGCCUAUGAAGAGGCUGGUCAGGAAGAAAGGAAGGGUAUUCAAACUGUGGGGAAAAAAGUCUACAAGGGAUAUGCUGACAAGAAUUCACUUUUCUUCAAGAUCAUCUGACUGAUAGUGGCAAAAUGGAGAUUUUCAUUUUGGUAUCUUUGGUAGGGUACCAAAGAUCUGCUUAAGCUUUAUGAAAAGAACCCAUAUGGCUUCCCAAAGGAUGUGUUCCAAAGUUUAGAGUAAGAAUGAACUUGGAUCCUCAAGAACA
This is a long non-coding RNA of Tympanuchus pallidicinctus (lesser prairie-chicken), 1047 nucleotides long. RefSeq lists it as uncharacterized. The record is from RefSeq and is a predicted model, not a curated record. NCBI's taxonomy places the organism in Eukaryota, Metazoa, Chordata, Aves, Galliformes, Phasianidae. The transcript is spliced from 4 exons.